Molecule: transfer RNA, 72 nt
Filed under: Heterocephalus glaber (naked mole-rat)
Lineage: Eukaryota; Metazoa; Chordata; Mammalia; Rodentia; Bathyergidae
Rfam family: tRNA
About the family: Transfer RNA (tRNA) molecules are approximately 80 nucleotides in length. Their secondary structure includes four short double-helical elements and three loops (D, anti-codon, and T loops).
Source: Rfam by way of RNAcentral
GGUAAUGUAGCUCAAUGGUAGAGUGCUUCCCUGUCAUGUAGGAAGCCCUGGGUUACAGCCCCAGUAUUGCAG